UGGGGAAUAUUGGGCAAUGGGCGCAAGCCUGACCCAGCAACGCCGCGUGAAGGAAGAAGGCUUUCGGGUUGUAAACUUCUUUUCUGAGGGACGAAGAAAGUGACGGUACCUCAGGAAUAAGCCACGGCUAACUACGUGCCAGCAGCCGCGGUAAUACGUAGGUGGCAAGCGUUAUCCGGAUUUAUUGGGUGUAAAGGGCGUGUAGGCGGGAAUGCAAGUCAGAUGUGAAAACUAUGGGCUCAACCCAUAGCCUGCAUUUGAAACUGUAUUUCUUGAGUGCUGGAGAGGCAAUCGGAAUUCCGUGUGUAGCGGUGAAAUGCGUAGAUAUACGGAGGAACACCAGUGGCGAAGGCGGAUUGCUGGACAGUAACUGACGCUGAGGCGCGAAAAGCGUGGGGAGCAAAACAGGAUUAGAUACC
Molecule: ribosomal RNA, 419 nt
Filed under: uncultured bacterium
Lineage: Bacteria
Description: bacterial SSU rRNA
Rfam family: Bacterial small subunit ribosomal RNA
Source: RNAcentral